ACAAAACACUCCAAGCCCUUCUCUCCUUUUUAGUGUGUAAUAAGUUCACGCCAUCCUCUUUUCUCCCGUGAGAUAUCUGGUGCAAACAAAGUGGGUGGGCGGCAUCAAAAGUUUAGAGUCCAAAGGAGUUUGGACUGUCACCUAAACUCCUACCUAAAACCAAUCUCUUAUCCUAUUUAAACCAUGCACUCCUUUGGACUCUCACCUAAACUCCUAGCUAAAACCAAUCUCUUGUCCUAUUUAAACCAUGCAUCAUGUGGGACAUUGGAUAGUUAAUGGUGAUCAAAUUUUGGAUGCCCAAACCAGAGGAGGCAUGCAUGAGAAUAUUGGAGAAAAAGAGAGGCAUCGCACCAUGAAGGGAGGCAGUGAGGUUUGGUUCCUAUCCUUUCUUUCUUACCAACAACCAACCUUUGGCUGUUGGGGGCCCCUUCUCUAUCUCUUUUGUCCUUAUUUGGACAUGGAUUUUUUUCUCCUCUUUGUCCAAAAAUUGGACAAAAUUCUUACAUCUCUAGCGUAAAGAUUUGGUGUAUGGAUUUUAUGAAGAAAAGAGAAGAAAGAGUUCUUCUCAUGAUCUCUAACGUAGAGAUCAUUAUCCUCCUAUUUCUUCUUCUUCUCUAAGAGUGUCUUGAGAGAAAAGAAAAUUUUUAACCAUCAAGAUGCAAUUUCUGUAAGGGAGCUAGCACUCUGAUGAGAUUAAUAAGCUUCUUAUCAGAUCGAAAUCUCGUAUGGAUAUCCAUAAAGAUAGGAUAUUUGUACGGCAUCAAGGGACCUUCAAAAGAUAUCCAUGUUCAUCAGUUCGCAGUAAAGAUUGAUCCAUGCCAAGGUAUGAAGCGUCUUUAUUUUUCUCUAUUUGAUUUCUAUAUCUGAAUUCUAUCUCACAUAUAUUGAUCAUGUUUAUGGUUUUAAGAUUUGAUCUUAUGCAUGCUUAGAUUAAAUUAGAUUUAAUCUAAAAUUUUUUAAAUUCUGCUGCAUAUUUGUUUUGAAAAUUUUUGCAUGCAUAAAAUCAUGAAACUCUAACAGUGGUAUCAAAGCCACGUCAUAUAUAUAAGAUUAAGAUUUAGAUCUGAAAUAUGUAGAGAAAA
Molecule: long non-coding RNA, 1082 nt
Filed under: Elaeis guineensis (African oil palm)
Lineage: Eukaryota; Viridiplantae; Streptophyta; Magnoliopsida; Arecales; Arecaceae
Description: long non-coding RNA (EGUI_LNC043733)
Source: RNAcentral